This is a small nuclear RNA of Ochotona princeps (American pika), 182 nucleotides long. RefSeq annotates it as U2 spliceosomal RNA. NCBI's taxonomy places the organism in Eukaryota, Metazoa, Chordata, Mammalia, Lagomorpha, Ochotonidae. The record is from RefSeq and is a predicted model, not a curated record. The transcript has a single exon.
UCAACUUCAUUUACCAUAAGAACAGCAUACUUUCUGCUAUCAGUUUAAUAUCUGAUAUGGCCUCUAUCCAAAAACAAUAUAGUAAAUGGAUUUUUGGAAUUAAGAGUUGGAAUAGGAGCUUUCUCCUUCCACUCCGUGCAUUUACAUGGUAUUGCAGUACCUCCAGGAAUGGUACACCCACU